AGAGUUUGAUCCUGGCUCAGAUUGAACGCUGGCGGCAUGCCUUACACAUGCAAGUCGAACGGCAGCACGGGAGCAAUCCUGGUGGCGAGUGGCGAACGGGUGAGUAAUAUAUCGGAACGUACCUUUCAGUGGGGGAUAACGUAGCGAAAGUUACGCUAAUACCGCAUAUUCUGUGAGCAGGAAAGCAGGGGACCUUCGGGCCUUGCGCUGAUUGAGCGGCCGAUAUCAGAUUAGCUAGUUGGUGAGGUAAAGGCUCACCAAGGCGACGAUCUGUAGCGGGUCUGAGAGGAUGGUCCGCCACACUGGAACUGAGACACGGUCCAGACUCCUACGGGAGGCAGCAGUGGGGAAUUUUGGACAAUGGGGGCAACCCUGAUCCAGCCAUGCCGCGUGAGUGAAGAAGGCCUUCGGGUUGUAAAGCUCUUUCGGCCGGGAAGAAAUCGCAUCAGCUAAUACCUGGUGUGGAUGACGGUACCGGAAUAAGAAGCACCGGCUAACUACGUGCCAGCAGCCGCGGUAA
This 520-nucleotide ribosomal RNA is filed under the name uncultured bacterium. Its description in RNAcentral is "bacterial SSU rRNA". It matches the Rfam family "Bacterial small subunit ribosomal RNA", at positions 8 to 523 of the family's 1533-position model. The record is from RNAcentral.